This is a long non-coding RNA of Phyllopteryx taeniolatus (common seadragon), 529 nucleotides long. RefSeq lists it as uncharacterized. NCBI's taxonomy places the organism in Eukaryota, Metazoa, Chordata, Actinopteri, Syngnathiformes, Syngnathidae. The record is from RefSeq and is a predicted model, not a curated record. The transcript is spliced from 3 exons.
UUAGGUGUCUCGCCAGCGCGCGAGAAUAGCUGCAAGUCAGAAAAGGCGAUCAAUUCUUCUCCUGUCUUCUGCAUGUACUAUAUUGAACCAAAUAUAUAUAUAUAUAUUAACUUUAUAUGUAACUAUAGAGGUGUUUUUACCAGUUUCGAGUUUCCAACGUCUCCGUUGAGCAAGUGUGUGGCAAUUAUUUCGUCCAGUUAGCAAAACACCGCAUGGAUUGGAUUAUACCAUGUCAUGAGCUAAGCAAAGGGGUGUCUUUUAUUAUUAUUAUUUUUUUUAUUUGUUAUUUUUAUGAGCUUGCCAGAAAUGCGUUUUAGCACCGAACAGGUAGAAUACGUUGAUGACAUGUUAAGGGGGAGCCACUAAAGUCAAGCAGACGGGCGAAAGCCUCAACUCGACCAAAACUGUCGUCGAAGAGCUGACCUGCUUGCGUGUGUCAGUUUUGGCGGCGUGUCGUCUUUGCUGCGGGGAAAAAUUGCUCCUUUGACGAGGCCGACCCCCCCCGCCGCCGGGCGCCCGUUCACCCGGG